Meriones unguiculatus (Mongolian gerbil) is the source of this 2208-nucleotide long non-coding RNA. RefSeq lists it as uncharacterized. The transcript is spliced from 3 exons. The record is from RefSeq and is a predicted model, not a curated record. NCBI's taxonomy places the organism in Eukaryota, Metazoa, Chordata, Mammalia, Rodentia, Muridae.
CUCUCUCUCUCUCUCUCUCUCUCUCUCUCUCUCUAGACAGGAUUUCUCUGUGUAGCCUCGGCUGUCUUGGAACUAGCUCUGUAGACCAAGCUGGCCUCAAACUCACAGAAUCCAGCUGCCUCUGCCUCCCGAGUGCUGGGAUUGAAGGCAUUUACAGUUGCCACCACCACCAGGCUGCAGGUCUGUCUCUUUAGGGACCCUAUUCUGCACUGAGCAAGACGGUCAUCCAUAGACGCUUGGACCACUUCCUUCCCUCACGCCUGAGCUCUGACUUCUGAGCGAGAAUCCCUGGAAUCCAUUCCAGGAGAACAGAUGAAGCCUGCAUCUCAUGCGUAGGUCUCAAGCGGAACCGCUGCUGAGGUUCAUCUAACCCCAGAGCCAGGUUUACGCUAUCCAUCAUGCAUAGAAAAUGUAUUUCUCAGACUUGCAAGCUGGCUUCUGAUAGGCGGAGCCCACGGGAGGCAUGGAGGCAUGCUGGAGAGCUGGAGAAGCCGGCCCCAUCGCACGGCCAGUCCUUGUACCGUCCUGAUUUGUCUUCUUUGCUGUGAUAACUACCAUGGCUAAAGGGAAGAAAUGGAUUCAUUUAGCUCACAGCUUAGUUCCUCACGGAGGGAAGCAAGACGGGAACUCAUUCAGGGCAGGAACCUGGAGGCAGGAGCUGACACAGACGCCGUGGAGGAGCGCUGCUUACUGAUUUUCUUCACAUGGCCUGCUUAGCCUGCUUUCUUAUACCACCCAGGACCACCCGCCGUCCAGGGGUGACGCUGCCUACAGUGAGCUGGGCCCUCUCAUCCCAGCUAUUCGUGAAGAAACUGCUCUUUGGGACAAUCUGAUGGAGUUAUUUUCUUGCCUGAGGUUGUCUCCUCUCGAAUGAUCCUACUUUAUAUCAGGUUGACAAAAACAAAGAAACAAAAACCAUAACCCCCCCCCAAAAAAAAUAAACCUCACACACACAAAAAAGAAAAAAAACGACUGAACAGCUCAGGUACCAUUGAGCCUUCGUUUUCCCAGCAGGUGAGAGGGCUGAAGAGCGCUGUGCUGCAGGCAGGCUGGCCGCCUCCCAGUUAUGACUGGGCCCACAGUCUCUCACUUGGGAACCAAGUCCUUUGUAGUACCUUUGGGAAUGGAGCCUGGUGGAGAAAGGGGCUUUAAUGAUUUUGGUGACAAGCUAGAAUGGAAAGACUCUACCUAGAGGGCUGGCUACAAGGUGCCAAGAAGAGAUUCAUGGUGAGAGGAGACAGGUGGACCUUGGACCAAGGUGACUGGCCCAGAGGACAAACUGCAGCCACACCAGAUUUGUGGAACAGAAAGCCUUUCCUUGGGGUUUCUGGGGUGCAGGAGAGGAAGGAAUCUGAUGAGAGUCCUCCAGCUCUGAUUGUCUAGGUCUCUGCAGGAAGGAGGGGAGGAGUCCCAUCCGUUGUCAGCUUGACACAGCCUAGAAUAUUCCAAGGGAGUCUCAGUGGAAGGAUCGCCCAGAUCAGACUGGCCUGCAGCCAUGCCUGUGGGAGAUGGUUUUGGUUGAUGAUGGCCAAGCCCACGGUGGGCAGCGCCAUCCCCGGUCAAGGGGGGAUGGAUGCUGUGGGGAAAGCUAGCUGAGCAUGAGCCAGUGAGCAAGCCAAUCAGGACUUUAGUGAUGGACUGUGACCUGGAAGUGUAAGCUGAAACUGAAAGGGUUAGACUAACUUUGUUACCUAUAUGUCUUCUAAAGCCUAUAGUUUUGAGUUUUAGGUCCAGGUUAAGCUAAAGCCUCUUAGUACCUUUCCAGAGAGUGAAGGAAUGUGACCCUAUUUGUGAGGACAGAUAUAAAAAAGGGCAAGCAAGCAAUGACCUUCACUCAGCAAAAGAAGGACCCUUGUCCUUGAGAUAGCGUUUCUUAGCAACAAACCUAGACUUCUUCUGAGUAGCUUUUGACCUCUGGCCAAGAGCCUGCAGCCCUAAUCUUCAAGGAUGAGCUAACCACCCCCACCUUAAAGUGCAGCUGCAUCCACACUUGGCAGGACUGGCCAAGCUUGAGCACCUAAGACUAACCAAUUAUCUUACUUUAUAGCUUCCUCAUCCAAUCCUAAAUUGCCAAAACUAAAACUUCAAAUUUCCCGCAAUUUUUCUUUUAAAAACCUAAAGGCCUUUGUCUCCCGGUGCCACUCUUUGCUGACAAGCAGGGGUGACCCCGUUGUACAAUGGUUAAUAAACCUCUUGCUUUUGCAACAA